Megalobrama amblycephala (Wuchang bream) is the source of this 1202-nucleotide long non-coding RNA. RefSeq lists it as uncharacterized. The transcript is spliced from 3 exons. Lineage: Eukaryota; Metazoa; Chordata; Actinopteri; Cypriniformes; Xenocyprididae. The record is from RefSeq and is a predicted model, not a curated record.
AAAGGUUGGUUUAAUGCUUCACCAGUCUUCAGCGUAUGCCAGCUGUGUAUAUAUCCCAUUCUGAGAGAGAGAAAGAGAGAGAGGUGAACAGAGAGAGCAGAUAUAUUCUGAAGCCUGUCUGCACAGAGAUAUUUCAUAGACUUCUGUCAGGCUGGCUAUUUCAAAAACACAUAAUUAUCAACAAAAGCACAAAAGCUUGAGAAGACAUUGGUUUAAUUAGGAGGAAUGUAUUGCCAAACUCCAAGCACACACAGCUUAAGAGAGAGAAAGAGAGCUGUUAGAAGUUAAUCAACAUUAGCCUUAAUGAUAAGGCCUCAGAGAAAAUGUACAGACACACAGCGCCGCACAAAACUACAUUGUUUGUCUUGGGUUUCCAAGAAAUUAUCCUUAUUUCGCCUUAGAAAUAGAAAAAGAAGAAGAAAAACACAUCAUCGACUGUCUGUUUCUCCGUUCUCUCCCACUGCUUGUCAGAAGAAAGGACAAAAAGGAGGGGAGCGCGAGACGGCGAAUCGGUCAGCGGACACGCGCUUCCCGCGCUUCCAGCAGCUCGCGCUGUGCAGAUAACGCGGGAAUGUCAACGGUUUGACAGGCUUCCGACGCUUUACUCCCUUUCAUCUCCGCCGUUGACAGCGCGGUUUAAAGCUCUUUUGUACUUAUAUCUAAAUUUGUGUUUUUGGAAUGAGAAACCACUGAGCGGAAACGCAUGUUUUCAUGGGCUCGUGAGGGAGGGAGCGGAUGAAAAGCUGUUUUACUGCACAAGCCUCCCUGUGAUCUGAGGUCAGUGUAACCUUAUUUAGACUUAUUGCCUCAACAAAAGCAGUAGGAUUGUAUAUCUGGGAGAAAAUUGCACCUUUGUGUGUUUGCGGAUUGUCUGUUUAUGGAAGGUCAUUAGCCAUCAGUGACUUUUCACAGCCCAGGCGUCUUUAUCUCUCCGGAUGGACUUGCACUCCAAGGUGCUUUUUCCUAGCAAAGGAAUUUUGCAUGAUGCCUUUGAAAAACAGCAGUAACAUCAGCCGUCGUAUCAGCACGAUCAGAAGAGAAUAAAUGGUGCUGUCAGUGUCCACGCAGAGGAAACCGCAAGGUGUUUUUCCUGCCAGUGCUGUUUAAACAACAUUUAUGCUGUCAUGAGACCCAGUAGAUGAAGAGAGAAGGGCAAGUAUUGUCAUUUACAUUUACAUUUAUUCAUUUUGCAGAUGAUUUCA